RNAcentral lists this ribosomal RNA (253 nucleotides) under uncultured bacterium. Its description in RNAcentral is "partial 16S ribosomal RNA". It matches the Rfam family "Bacterial small subunit ribosomal RNA", at positions 524 to 776 of the family's 1533-position model. The record is from RNAcentral.
UACGAACGGUGCGAACGUUGUUCGGAAUCACUGGGCUUAAAGGGCGCGUAGGCGGGCGGUCAAGUCAGAGGUGAAAUCCCACGGCUCAACCGUGGAAGUGCCCCUGAUACUGAUCGCCUCGAGGGAGGUAGGGGCGUGCGGAACUUCCGGUGGAGCGGUGAAAUGCGUAGAUAUCGGAAGGAACACCGAUGGCGAAAGCAGCGCGCUGGACCUUUACUGACGCUGAGGCGCGAAAGCCAGGGGAGCAAACGGG